This 385-nucleotide ribosomal RNA is filed under the name uncultured bacterium. RNAcentral describes it as "bacterial SSU rRNA". It matches the Rfam family "Bacterial small subunit ribosomal RNA", at positions 29 to 414 of the family's 1533-position model. The record is from RNAcentral.
AUUGAACGCUGGCGGCGUGCCUAACACAUGCAAGUCGAGCGGUAACAGGUGUAGCAAUACAUGCUGACGAGCGGCGAACGGGUGAGUAAUGCUUCGGAAUCUACCCAAUGGUGGGGAAUAACCAGCCGAAAGGUUGGCUAAUACCGCAUACGUCCCACGGGAGAAAGCAGGGGAUCGCAAGACCUUGCGCCAAUGGAUGAGCCGAAGUCGGAUUAGCUAGUUGGAGGGUAACGGCCUACCAAGGCGACGAUCCGUAGCUGGUCUGAGAGGACGACCAGCCACACUGGGACUGAGACACGGCCCAGAUUCCUACGGGAGGCAGCAGUGGGGAAUAUUGGACAAUGGGGGAAACCCUGAUCCAGCGACGCCGCGUGUGUGAAGAAGG